AUUUGUUUUAAUUUUAGAUGAGCCGUUUAUUAUCAACUUACCAGAAAAUAUUGCCAUAGCUGAUCAGGAGGCAGUGCAACAAGCAAUAUUCCAAGUUACAAAUAUCCCUGUGCCUAAUAAUGACCUCAACGAAAAUUAUGAGAAUGAUCGUCGCACAUUGUCUUGGCUUGGAAAUAGUAGACGAAGGAUAAUGGGAUAUCUUACAAGACUUUUACUUAUCG
Adelges cooleyi (spruce gall adelgid) is the source of this 221-nucleotide long non-coding RNA. RefSeq lists it as uncharacterized. The transcript has 4 exons. The record is from RefSeq and is a predicted model, not a curated record. NCBI's taxonomy places the organism in Eukaryota, Metazoa, Arthropoda, Insecta, Hemiptera, Adelgidae.